ACCUACAUCCUCCCACAGACAGAGAAGGUUCUGUUAGGACCUACAUCCUCCCACAACAGACAGAGAAGGUUCUGUUAGUUCCUACAUCCUCCCACAGACAGAGAAGGUUCUGUUAGUUCCUACAUCCUCCCACAGACAGAGAAGGUUCUGUUAGUACCUACAUCCUCCCACAACAGACAGAGAAGGUUCUGUUAGUACCUACAUCCUCCCACAACAGAGCGAGAAGGUUCUGUUAGUACCUACAUCCUCCCACAACAGACAGAGAAGGUUCUGUUAGUACCUACAUCCUCCCACAGACAGAGAAGGUUCUGUUAGUACCUACAUCCUCCCACAGACAGAGAAGGUUCUGUUAGUACCUACAUCCUCCCACAACAGACAGAGAAGGUUCUGUUAGUACCUACAUCCUCCCACAACAGACAGAGAAGGUUCUGUUAGUUCCUACA
Long non-coding RNA from Oncorhynchus tshawytscha (Chinook salmon), 443 nucleotides. RefSeq lists it as uncharacterized. The record is from RefSeq and is a predicted model, not a curated record. Lineage: Eukaryota; Metazoa; Chordata; Actinopteri; Salmoniformes; Salmonidae. The transcript is spliced from 3 exons.